This 230-nucleotide unclassified non-coding RNA is filed under the name Hevea brasiliensis (rubber tree). Lineage: Eukaryota; Viridiplantae; Streptophyta; Magnoliopsida; Malpighiales; Euphorbiaceae. The record is from RNAcentral.
GUGGUGGAAGAUGGAUGAGUAGGGUUUGUAUGAACAAGAUCUGGAGUGAAAUCGGGGUUGGAAUUUAGAGGAGCGCGAAUGUCGGAGAUUUCAUCGUCAGGGUCGUAAUCGGGAUUGAGAGAGCGAUCAAUGGCCUCCCGACCUUUCUCCAGGCAAGGUUUGCAAGCUAUUUCGAUGGUGAUCCAUCCUAGAACCACCGCUCCGAUUGCUAUCACCGCCGUCGUUAUUGC